Lycium barbarum (goji berry) is the source of this 709-nucleotide long non-coding RNA. RefSeq lists it as uncharacterized. The transcript has 3 exons. Lineage: Eukaryota; Viridiplantae; Streptophyta; Magnoliopsida; Solanales; Solanaceae. The record is from RefSeq and is a predicted model, not a curated record.
UCUUAGUCAUUUAGAAGCCCUUCCAAUUGCACCUCACGAACAGCCCCUCUUUAAGGCUAUUCUCUUGCUAUUUUCAUCUUGGUUUCGAGGAUUUGAUUGUGAAGUGUUGGGAAAGAUUUCUCCAGAUCAUCCUACUCAUUUUCCUCACAUAAAUAAGAGCUGGAUUCUCGGGGUUUGUGGAAUUUAUAGAGGAAAUGCUGUCCGAAUUUCUAUAAAUGACGUGCUAGCUUAGGGUUGGAUUCCUAAGUACCUAUAGCUAAUGAUUGGUAUCUUCUGAUGCUGCUGUAGAUCUUCGGAGGCCUGAGACUUAGGUUUUCAUUAGCUUAUGAAGCGGACAAGGUACAGACGCUCGCUUUGGAGAUCCGCCAGCUUAGAUCAUCUUUCAGCUAUUUUGGACUGCUCCUUUGUUCCGGAGCUAGCUUGUGGUAUAACCUCCUUAUGUUGUGUCCGUAUGUGUUUAUUUGGGUACGGCGGGGCCCUGUCCCGCCACAUAAUACGGCCGUUACUCUUAGAAGUCUGUGGACAUCGGUGUGGGUCUGUUUACAGUUGUUGAUGUGUUUUAUGUUUUGACUUAAGUUGGGGCGUACCCAGUCGUAAUGGCAGCCUUGUCGGCUUGCAUAUGUGUGUAUGUUUGGUAUUUUGUAUAUCGUGGCAGCCUUGUCGGCUUGCUUAGGAAUAUAUAUAAAUGUUGUUGUUUGAUAAGUGCAAC